CCCAGACUCCUACGGGAGGCAGCAGUGAGGAAUAUUGGUCAAUGGCCGAGAGGCUGAACCAGCCAAGUCGCGUGAGGGAUGACGGCCCUACGGGUUGUAAACCUCUUUUGUCGGGGAGCAAAGAGAGUCACGUGUGGCUCAUUGAGAGUACCCGAAGAAAAAGCAUCGGCUAACUCCGUGCCAGCAGCCGCGGUAAUACGGAGGAUGCGAGCGUUAUCCGGAUUUAUUGGGUUUAAAGGGUGCGCAGGCGGAGGUGCAAGUCAGCGGUCAAAUUGCGGGGCUCAACCCCGUACUGCCGUUGAAACUGCAUCCCUUGAGUGCGCGAGAAGUAUGCGGAAUGCGCAGUGUAGCGGUGAAAUGCUUAGAUAUUGCGCAGAACUCCGAUUGCGAAGGCAGCAUACCGGCGGCGAUCUGACGCUGAGGCACGAAAGCGUGGGUAUCGAACAGGAUUAGAUACCCCGGUAAAA
This 467-nucleotide ribosomal RNA is filed under the name uncultured bacterium. Its description in RNAcentral is "bacterial SSU rRNA". It matches the Rfam family "Bacterial small subunit ribosomal RNA", at positions 330 to 795 of the family's 1533-position model. The record is from RNAcentral.